Molecule: small nucleolar RNA, 143 nt
Organism: Arachis stenosperma
Lineage: Eukaryota; Viridiplantae; Streptophyta; Magnoliopsida; Fabales; Fabaceae
Product: small nucleolar RNA snoR134
Exons: 1
Source: RefSeq, a predicted model, not a curated record
UUGCACGAUGCCUCCCGGGCUUCUCUGAGCUUUAGUUAUGACGCGAAUGCCCCGAUGCACGUGCUACAUCGGUGCCGUUCGUGUUGCAGAUUCGUUUCUUUUAUAUUCCACGGCCAAUCUGUGUCAAAGUAUCGGCAAGAUCC